GACGUAGGGCGCAAGCGUUGUCCGGAUUUAUUGGGCGUAAAGAGCUCGUAGGCGGUGUGUCGCGUCGGCCGUGAAAACCUGCAGCUUAACUGUGGGCUUGCGGUCGAUACGGGCAUCACUGGAGUUCGGCAGGGGAGACUGGAAUUCCUGGUGUAGCGGUGAAAUGCGCAGAUAUCAGGAGGAACACCGGUGGCGAAGGCGGCUCUCUGGGCAUGUCCUGACGCUGAGGAGCGAAAGUGUGGGGAGCGAACAGG
RNAcentral lists this ribosomal RNA (254 nucleotides) under uncultured bacterium. RNAcentral's name for it is "partial 16S ribosomal RNA". It matches the Rfam family "Bacterial small subunit ribosomal RNA", at positions 524 to 776 of the family's 1533-position model. The record is from RNAcentral.